RNAcentral lists this unclassified non-coding RNA (274 nucleotides) under plant metagenome. RNAcentral's name for it is "partial contains small subunit ribosomal RNA, internal transcribed spacer 1, and 5.8S ribosomal RNA". The stretch from base 1 to 53 matches the Rfam family "Eukaryotic small subunit ribosomal RNA", at positions 1778 to 1831 of the family's 1831-position model. The record is from RNAcentral.
GGAAGUAAAAGUGUAACAAGGUUUCCGUAGGUGAACCUGCGGAAGGAUCAUUAACACAAAAACAAAACCGUCCCCCCCCGAGAGGGGAGGGGCGACAAGCACCUCGCGUCGAACGACAUGAAGUCCCUGACGGCACGCCCCACGGGGCGCCCGCCGUCCAAAAGCGCCACAGCGGUAGACAGCCGUCUGAUCGGGGAUUCGCGGGCCCAGGCCCGCGUCUCUCGAGACAUACGAAAAACGUAGAUAACUUUUAACAACGGAUAUCUUGGUUCUC